Long non-coding RNA from Phyllostomus discolor (pale spear-nosed bat), 494 nucleotides. RefSeq lists it as uncharacterized. The transcript has 3 exons. Lineage: Eukaryota; Metazoa; Chordata; Mammalia; Chiroptera; Phyllostomidae. The record is from RefSeq and is a predicted model, not a curated record.
GUCGCUGCUGCUUCCCUUCUAUCACCAAUGACUUUGAGACUCUCCGGCAGAAAUGGGGCAGAUUAAGUGGGUGAACUUCAUCGUUACCCUCUUCUCCUCCUCCCUGGAUCUGGGGAAGAAAUCACAAUAGCAGGUCCUAUUCUGGAGCGGAGGCUCUGGACACUGUUCUUUCUACAGUGAAAGGGAAAAAGGUUUAAUUCUUAGACAAACAGUGUGUGUGAAUGUACGUACUUAAUCCUAAAGAAAACCGCUUUGACGCUGACAUUUUAGUGGCAUCAAUGAUGCAGUUCUGCCCUUAAUUUUAACUUGUUCCAUUUAAUUACACACUUGAAAUGCCAGGCUGUAGUUUGUGAACGGCCUUACAUUAUUUUUAAACCAGGUGGGUUAUAAAGAAGGUAAUGCUUUGGCUUAUGAUUUUUAAUAUACACAUUUUCACAUUUUUGUAAGAUAAACAUCAGUUUAUUAGAUUUGUGAUGCACUCGUUUGCUGAAUUU